Non-coding RNA from Picea glauca (white spruce), 1714 nucleotides. The record is from Rfam. Lineage: Eukaryota; Viridiplantae; Streptophyta; Pinopsida; Pinales; Pinaceae.
UACCUGGUUGAUCCUACCAGUAUUCAUAUGCUUGUCUUAAAUAUUAAGCCAUGCAUGUCUAAGUAUGAACUAAUUUAGACUGUGAAACUGUGGAUGGCUCAUUAAAUCAGUUAUAGUAUCUUUGAUGGUACCCUACUACUCGGAUAACUGUAGUAAUUCUAGAGCUAAUACGUGCACCAAGUCCAAACUCUUUGGAAGGGAUUCAUUUAUUAGAUAAAAGGUCGGUGUGGGCUUGCCCACUUCUCCGGUGAAUCAUGAUAACUAGACGGAUCGCACAACCAUUUUGUUGGUGAUGCUUCAUUCAAAUUUCUUCCCUAUCAACUUUCUAUGGUAGGAUAGAUGCCUACCAUGGUGGUGAUGAGUGAAAGAGAAUUAGGGUUCGAUUGCAGAGAGGGAGCCUGAGAAAUGACUACCACAUCCAAGGAAGGUAGAAGGCGUGCAAAUUACCCAAUCCUGACAUGGGGAGGUAGUGACAAAACAUAGCAAUAAUGUGCUCAUUGAGUCUAGUAAUUGGAAUGAGUACAAUAUAAAUCCCUUAAUGAGGAUCCAUUAGAGGGAAAUUAUGGUGCCAGCAGGCAUGGUAAUUCCAACUUCAAUAGCGUAUAUUUAAGUUGUUUCAGUUAAAAAUCUCAUAGUUGGAACUUGGGUCAUAAAGGUCGGUCCGUCUACUCGUGUGCACCUGCCCUUCCGUCUCUUUUUCCAGUGGCAUGCUCCUCGCCUUAAUUGGCUGGGUCAUAGUUUUGAAAUUGUUACUUUGAAAAAAUUAGAUUAAUGAUUAAUAGGGACUGUCGAGGGCAUUCAUAUUUCAUUGUUAAAGGUGAAAUUCUUGGAUUUAUGAAAGACGGACCACUGCGAAAGCAUUUUCCAAGGAUGUUUUCAUUAAUCAAGAAUGAAAGUUGGGGGCUCGAAGACGAUCAGAUACCUUCCUAGUCUCAAACAUAAAUGAUGUCAACUAGGGAUCAACGGAUAUUUCUCUAAGGACUCCACUAGCACCUUCUCAGAAAUCAUAGUGUUUGGGUUUCAGGGGGAGUAUGGUUGCAAGGCUAAAACUUAAAGGAAUUAAUGGAAGGGCACCACCAGGAGUGGAGCCUGUGACUUAAUUUGACUCAACACGAGAAAAAUUACCAGGUUCGGACAUAGUAAGGAUUGACAUAUUGAGAGCUCUUUAUUGAUUCUAUGGGUGGUGGUGCAUGUCCAUUCUUAGUUGGUGGAGCAAUUUGUCUGGUUAAUUCCGAUAACGAAUGAGACCUCGGCCUGCUAACUAGCUACAGGGAGGUUCCCCUUCGCAGCCAGCUUCUUACAAGGACUAUGGACAUUUAGGCCAUGAAAGUUUGAGGCAAUAACAUGUUUGUGAUGCCCUUAGAUGUUUUGGGCCACACGCACACUACACUGAUGAAGUCAACGAGUUUUUCUCCCUGGUUCAAGAGGAUCAAGAAAUCUUCUCAAAUUGCAUCGUGAUGGGGAUAGACCAUUACAAUUAUUGAUCUUCAAUGAGGAAUUACUAAGAAGCGCGCUCAUGUUGACUACAUCCCUGCCCUUUGUACACACCAUCCGUCACUCCUACCGAUUGAUUGAUCCAAUGAAGUGUUCAUAUCACAUCAAUGAGGGUGGUUCUCCACCAACGAUGUUGUGAGAAUUUCACUGAACCUUAUCAUUUAGAGGAAGGAGAAGUUGUAACAAGGUUACCAUAGGUGAACCUGUGGUAGGAUCAUUG